This is a long non-coding RNA of Gallus gallus (chicken), 3781 nucleotides long. The record is from Ensembl. NCBI's taxonomy places the organism in Eukaryota, Metazoa, Chordata, Aves, Galliformes, Phasianidae.
GGGUCAUUCCCCCGACUGAAAACAGUCUUUUAGUUACACUACUGAACUCUGUUUUCCGUAGCUUUGUGUGUAUUGGAGCCAUUACCUUCCAAACUGUUACUGUUUUGUGGGUUGUAAUCCCUUCACCUUCCGAAAAAGCACCAGUCAUAGAACCACAGAGCCAUAGAACCAUAGAAUCACAGAACCACUAAGAUUGGAAAAGACCUCCAUGAUCAUCCAGUCCAACCUUCUACCUACCACCAAUAUUUUCCCACUAAACCACGUCCCUCAAGUACAGCAUCUGAAUGUUUCUUGAGCACCUCCAAGGACAGUGACUCCAUCAUCUCCCUAAGCAUCCUGUUACCAUGCUUGACAACUCUCUUGGAGAAAAAGUAUUUCCUAACAUCCGACCUGAAUCUCAUCUGAAUCUCCCCUGGUGCAAUGUGAGGCCCUUCCCUCUAGUCCUAUCACUAGUUACAUGGGAGAAGAGGCCAACCUCCAUCUCACCACAACCUUCUUUCAAGUUGUUGUAGAGAGUGAUAAGGUCUACCCUGAGCCUCUUCUUCUCCAGACUAAAUAUUCCCAGAUCCCUCAGCCACUCCUCGUAAGACUUGCGCUCCAGACCCCUCACCAGCUUCACUGCCCUUCUCUGAACAUGCUCCAGGGCCUCAAUGUCUUUCUUGGAAUGAGGAGCCCAAAACUGAACACAGUACUCAAAGCGUGAUCUCACCAGUGCCAAGUACAGGGGAAUUAUUACUUCCCUGCUCCUGCUGGCAACACUAUUUCUGAUACAAGCUAGGAUGCCAUUGGCCACCUUGGCCACCUGGUCACACUGCUGGCUCAUGUUCAUUUGAGAGUCAAUCAAUACCCCCAGGUCCAUUUCCUCUACACAGUCUUCCAGCCACUCUGCCCCAAGCCUGUAGUGUCGCCUGAGGUUGUUGUGGCCAAAGUGCUGGACCCAGCACUUGGUCUUGUUGAACUUCAUCCCACUGGCCUCAGCCCAGCUACCCAGCCUGUCCAGAUUGCUCUAUAGGGCCUUCCUACCCCCAGGCAGAUCAACGCUUCUCCCCAGCUUGGUGUCAUCUGCAAACUUACUGAGGGUACACUCAAUGCCCUCAUCCAGGUCAUCAGUAAAGAUAUUGAAAAGGACAAGCCCCAGUACCAACCCCUUGGGAGCACCACUCAUGACUGGUCAACAGCUAGAUGUGACUCCAUUUACCACUGCACUCUGAGGCCAGCCAUCCAGCAAGGUGUGUACCUGUCCAAGACACGGGCUGUCAGGUUUCCCAGAAGAAUACUGUGAGAGACAGUGUCAAAGGCUUCACCAAAGUCUAGGUAGACCACAUUAACAGCCUUUCCCUCAUCCACCAGGCAGGUCAAUUGAUCAUAGAAGGAGUUCAGGUUGGUCAAGCAGGACCUGCCUUUCAUGAAUCCAUGCUGGCUAGGCCUGAUCCCCCUAGUUGUCCUGCACAUGCCAUGUGAUCUCCCUCAAGACGAUCUACUCCAUAACCUUCCCUGGCACCAAGGUCAGGCUGACAGGCCUGUAGUUCCCCGGAUCUUCUUUACAACCCUUCUUGUAGAUGGGAGUCAUGCUGGCAAGACUCCAAUCCUCUGGGACCAGGAAUGCUGACAGAUGGUGGAAAGUGGCUUGGCAAUCACCUCUGCCAGCUCCCUCAGCACCCUCAGGUGGAUCCCUUCCAGCCCCCAUGGACUUGUGGCAGUCCAGGUAGAGUAGUAGGUCUCUGACAGUUUCUACCUGAAUCACCAAGCAUCUGUCUACAGACGUGUUUUGUUGUGUUUGCCUCUGCUAGAAUAAUUUAGUAAAUCUCUUAUGAAUCUUUCAAGAAAUAACAUUUUGGUUCAGAUUCAGAAAGGACUGUGGAAAUUCCACUCCCAGAACCAAGUUGCUUAACUGCAGAUACUCCAGGGCUUUUUGUGGCCACGCUUCCAUCCAUUUGUGUGUAUUCAGCACUGUCAAGUUUGUACUAUCAAAAUUCUCCUAGACAUGCAGGGAGACAGGGAAUGCUUCUGCACUGGGCCAAAGCCUGAAGAAAAUAUUUGGUGUACACCUGUGUAUAACACAACAGAAUGGAUACAUUCCAUCCUGGUGUUGAAGAAGGUCUGAGCUGUAGCAUCAAGCUGCCACACUCCAUUGCUCGAGGACUUUAUGUAUUUGAUGCACUUAACUGGUGGGUCCCAGAACAACUUGCAUGCAAAUCUGCUGACCCUCCCUCACUUGACAUGACCUUUUGAUACCCUGGUACCUGAGUGACUGACGGGAGCACAUCUUGCAAGGAGUGGCAGCUCUGCUGCUGCAACAAAGCCCUUUCACCAACUAUUUUUUUAAGGAAAGAAGCACCUACACCAACAUGAGGACAAAUUUUCCGUGAUGAACAGUGUGGCAUAAUUCAGGCUAUAAGGAAUCUCCAGAGAAAUUGGUCUACAAGUGGAUGUCUGCUGAGACUUCACCACUUAUGCACACAAAUUUUCUUACAUUUCCAGAUAUUUGUGAAUUUACUUGUUGUUUGAAGUAACAAAGACAAAAUAAGGACAGUGGACGUCUUUAAUUAGUAAAAUUACUAAUAACUCCACUACUUCUGAGACUGGAGUUUCUCUUUGGACUCACCAGAGGCAGGCUGGAAGGGAAAGGGUUUCCCCCAGCCAUCCAAAGAUAGACAUCUAGUGCUAGAGCCAAGGUGAUGUAGGAGAUUUGUCAAUCCUACAUGGUGCUGGAAGAUGUGACAGAUAGACCUGUGUCCUUUUGGAGAUGCAGCUGCAGGCUAGGUGUCAUAUCCUUCACUAUCUCAAAUGGCACUUUGUUUUGGCAGCUAACACAGUCCUCAGCAGUACGUGGCCCUUUUGCCUAUUUCCUUUCCUUGUCCUUGACUGGGAAGCAGCACUAACAGGAGCAAGUUUUCUUCUUCUUUUUUCUCUCUCCUUACUAACAGAACCACUAAUGGAAACUUGAGUCCUGCAGUAAUUAUUACUCUGACCUGAAGCACAAGCUCAUUGAGGGGAGUCAACUAGCAAUGAUUUUCAGUCACAAGUGAUUUGAAUGAUUUUGAACCAGUGACCUAGCUGUAGAAGGUGAAUGUUGCUAUAAUUAUUUAUCUAAGCAAUCUUCUUCCCCCUCAGUUAGUUUGUUUUACUAUUCUUCUCACAGUUUCAUAAAAGACACAAGACCUGUGUAUCUGAAGGCAAGUCUAAAUUGAUUGUUGUUUAAUCACCAAACCCGUGUCUACACAUGAAACGAGGAGGCUUGAGCUAAUGAGGAUCUGAGGUAGUGAAUCUUUCUACUGCAGCUCUAUACACAGUUUAAUACAUCCUACUGCAGACAUGAUAUCGAAUGAGUGUCCAGAUCCGCUCUUUUAAAUUCUGCAAGGAAUUCAGUUACAAGGUUUUGACAUACCAUUGCAGAUUUGUGCUAGUUUAGGUAUCUCUUCACUAUUUCAAUGUGUAGACCCAUUGCCUGUAAUUUGCCAGGUGUCAUGAGUCCUGCUCUACUUUUGAACCCAUUUAUUUUAUUAACAUAUUAGGUCCUGCUGCACAAGAUACAGAUUUCUCAUGUUGCCCAAAACCAGCUUGGACAGCUUGGUGUUAUCUUUUGUUUUAUCAGUUUGGAUUGACAAGUUAUUUGAAGGAUGACAGUGCUCAAGUUUUGAGAGAGCCAUCCAUUUGAGCAUCAUUCCAGAAUAUGACAUAGUAGAGCUACUUAGGAAAUCUCAAAAAGCCUUUUGGAAAACUGAAGCCUCCUUUACACUUCUCAGUAUGGUCCCAGCACUGUAGGAACUCUGCUCUUCAG